GUAAAUGGGGUAGCCAUUACCUCAAGCAUUUAUCCUUUCUUUGUAUCACAAACAAUCCAAUUAUACUACUCUUCUACUUAUUUUAAUUGUACAAUAAAUUAUUAUGGACUAUAGCCUCUCUAUUCUGCUGUCAAAUACUAGCUCCUAUUCAUUCUAUCUAAAUAUAUUUAUGUACUCAUUAACCAUCCCCAUUCCCCAAUCUCCAUUACACUUCCAAGCAUUGGGUUCCAUCCUUCUACAGUCCAUCCAUGAAUUCAAUUGUUUUAAUUUUUAGCUCUUUUGGGUAAAAGCCAUUUUUAACUAGGGUAGGAUAAUAUCUGAUUGUAGUUUUGAUUUUCAUUUCCCUGUUGAUCAAUGUUAUUGAGUACAUUUUCAUAUACAUGUUUGCCAUUUAUAUCUCUUCUUUUGAGAAAUGUCUAUUCAAAUAUUUUGCCCAUUUUUAAAUUGAAUUAUUAAACUUUUUCCUAUAGAGUUGUUUGAGCUCCUUAUAUAACCUGGUUAUUAGUCCCUUGUCAGAUGGGUAGCUUGCAAAAAUAUUUUCUCCCAUUAUAUCAUUUCUAUUUCUCUGCAUAUAGAUAUCCAGUUUUCCCAGCACCAUUUAUUUAAGAGGCUAGCCUUUUUCCAAUGUAUGUUGUAAUGGUAUUGUUUGGCUCUGUGUCCCCACCCAAAUCUCAUCUUGAAUUGUACUCCCAUAAUUCCCAUGUGUUGUAGGAGGGACUUGGUGGGAGAUAAC
This 733-nucleotide long non-coding RNA is filed under the name Homo sapiens (human). RNAcentral's name for it is "non-protein coding lnc-DTHD1-13:1". Lineage: Eukaryota; Metazoa; Chordata; Mammalia; Primates; Hominidae. The record is from RNAcentral.